AGGUUAUUUUUUUAUAGGCAAAUGGUGGAUGCCUUGGGACCAGACGCGAUGAAGGACGUGGCGUAGCUGCGAUAAGCCUCGGGAAGGUGUUAGCAACCUGUGAACCGGGGAUUUCCGAAUGGGGAAACCUAAUUUCGUUUAAACGAAAUUGUCGAAGUUAAAUUCGAUGCGAACCCGCUGAAGUGAAACAUCUCAGUAGGCGGAGGAAAAGAAAACAAAAGUGAUUCCCUAAGUAGCGGCGAGCGAAAGGGGAGAAGCCCAAAAUCAUUCGCGCUUUGCGUGAAUGGUGGUUGUAAGGGGAUAACGUCUAUUCAAUUAGAGGGAGUUAUAAAUAAUUUAAUUAGCUGAACUUCUCUGGAAAGAGAGACCGCAGACGGUGAUAGUCCGGUAAGUGAAAAUUAAAUUAUGCUCCUUGUUAUCUUUCUUGAGUACUGUCGAAUCAAGAUAAGUCGGCAGGAAUCCAGCGGGACUACCCGCUAAGGCUAAAUACAAUCUGGUCACCGAUAGUGAACUAGUACCGUGAGGGAAAGGUGAAAAGUAGUCCGGUAAGGACGAUGAAAUAGAAUCUGAAACCAUUAUGCCUACAAGGAGUCAGAGCUGAUAUUUAUAUCAGUGAUGGCGUGCUUUUUGCAGAACGAGCCAACGAGUCUCUUUUACCAAUUUGUCUAAGCGCUUACGGCGCGGAGGCACAGGGAAACCAAGUCUUAAUAGGGCGAAUAUAAUUGGUGGAGGAGGACCCGAAGCCAGACGAGCUUGCCAUGGCCAGGAUGAAGCUUUCAGAAAUGAAAGUGGAGGUCCGAACCCGUUUGUCGUGCAAUUCAUUGGGAUGAGCUGUGGUAAGGAGUGAAAAGCUAAUCGAGUUUGGUAAUAGCUGGUUCUUCCCGAAAUAGUUUUAGGACUAGCCUCUCUGCUCAGUAUUUUGGAGGUAGAGCACUGAAAGGGAUGCUGCGGCUUCGGCUAGGCAUUUCUAUCAAACUCCGAAUGCCAAAAUAUAUACAGAGGGAGUCAGACAGUGGGAGCGAAGUUCCAUUGUCGCGAGGGAAACAGCCCAGAUCGUCAUCUAAGGUCCCUAAAUCUAAACUAAGUGUUAGUAAGGAGGUGAAAUUUCUCAGAUAGCUAGGAGGUUAGCUUAGAAGCAGCUAUCCUUUAAAAAGUGCGUAACAGCUUACUAGUUAAGAGAUUUUGCGCCGAAGAUUCCCGGGACUAAAGUUUAGUACCGAAGAUACGACUUGGUAUUUUUAAUACCAGGGGUAGGGAAGCGUCCUUAUUGCGCUGAAGCUGAACCGUGAGGUUCUGUGGAGCGAUGAGGAGUGAGAAUGUUGGCAUAAGUAACCACAAUUGAAGUGAGAUUCUUCAACACCGUAAAUCCAAGGUUUCCUUGGCAAUGUAGAUCAGCCAAGGGUUAGGCGGGCCUUAGGAGAAGCCGAAAGGUUUAUCUGAUGGACAGCCGGUUAAUAUUCCGGCCCUCUAACAUUUUUCUGAAGGGUGACGCGAUUUAGUAGCUUGAGCGGAUUAUUGGAUUUCCGUCGACUAUUUAAGGGGCAACCCAAGAAUAGGAGCGUAGCUUAUCCUCGGAUGAGUUAAGUCAAGUGAGCAAGUCGACAAGAAAAGCCCGCAAGGCUAAGAAUGUUGGAUCCGUACUAAAACCGACACAGGUGGAUGGGCACAAGUGUGCCAAGGUGAACAAGUGAAAGAUCCUGAAGGAACUCGGCAAAAAAGUGAUCGUAACUUAGGAAUAAGAUCUGCCUUUCUUUGCAAGAAGAAAGGCCGCAGCGAGCGUUUCUCUAGCGACUGUUUAUCAAAAACACAGGUCCCUGCUAAUUCGUAAGAGGAAGUAUAGGGGCUGAGGCCUGACCAGUGCUGGAGUGUUAAAAGUGGCGGUUGCCUCGCUCUUGUUUCAUGAAACGAUCCUGAGUUCUUGUAAGUAGUUUGAUUAGUUAAGAUAAUAAUAAUUUAAUGUGUCUUUUUCAAAAAUAGGUAAGAUAUAUUGCAAUAUUAAGGAACUCAGAGAUUGCGUUCGUGAAUCGAGAGCGGGGCAGCUGACUGCUCCAAGCCUCCGGUGAACGUCCGCGGUAACUCUGACCGUGUUAAAGUAGCGUAAUCCCUUGUCGGGUAAGUUCCGACCCGCAUGAAAGGCUUAACGACUGGAGAACUGUCUCCAGGAUCUGCUUGGUGAAAUUGCAGUAGAGGUGAAAAUGCCUCUUACCUGUGGCUAGACAAUAAGACCCCGGGAGCUUUACUAUAUCCUGGCAUUGAAUUUUGAUAUUAAUUGCGUAGCGUAGGAGGGAGACUUUGAAGCUAUCUUUUCGGAGAUAGUGGAGUCGCCAAUGAAACACCUCUCUUUUAAUGUUAAGGUUCUAACUUUGUUACCUGAGGAGGGUAGCAGAAGACAGUGCUUGGUUGGUAGUUUAAGUGGGGCGCUUUUCUCCUAAAAAGUAACGGAGAAGCUUAAAGGUUGGCUAGAUCCGGAUGGAAAUCGGAUUGGUCCUGUAAAGGGAUAAGCCAGCUUGACUGCAAGACGGGUAUGUCGCGCAGAUGCGAAAGCAGAACUUAGUGAACCGACCAUGGUUCGUAGGACCGUGGGAGAUCAUCAGAUAAAAGUUACCCCGGGGAUAACAGGCUGGUAGUGCCCAAGAGUCCAUAUCAACGGCACUGUUCGGCACCUUAACAUAUCGGGGUGCAUUAACAGCAAUGUUAUUUUAAAAAAAUUGGCUUAUAACGGUAGACUCCAUAGUGAAAAUCAGCUAUAACAUAAUCAUUAUGGACAAUACCGUGGGAAGUCUAACACAAUUACAAAAAUCAUUGAUUAUAGGUUCGGUUUUAGGUGACGGGCAUAUUAGAAUUAUGCCUGGGCGCAAAGAUGCUUUUUUAGAAAUAAAUCAUUUCCUAAAAGCAAAAGAUUAUGUAGAUUGGAAAUAUUCUGUACUAAAGAAUAUUUGCGAUUCCGAACCUAAGGAAAGGGAAACCAAUGAAGGUAGAAUAGCUUAUUGUUUUUUUACUAAACAAGAUAAAGAAAUUACAGAAAUAUAUAAUCUCCUUUAUCAAGAUGGUAAAAAAAUAAUACCAAAAGAAUUAGAAAUUAAUCCAAUCGUUUUAGCCGUAUGGCUUAUGGACGAUGGAAGCAAAUCUAAUGAUAACAUCUAUCUAAACACACAACAAUUUAGUAUGCUUGAUCAAAAAAGAUUAUUGCAUCAGUUGCGUCAAAUUGGAUUGAAAGCAAGAUUAAAUCGAGAUAAAAAAUACUAUCGAAUUAGAUUUCUAAAAGAAAGUAUUCCUAAAUUGAUUGAAAUUGUUGGUCCUCAUAUAAUUCCGUCAAUGAGAUAUAAAAUUGAGUUAUGACCCCGUAGAGACUUAGUCCAAGAGGACUGGAGUUCGUCAAAUGCGACGAGCUAAUACGCCAACGCCUAUCUUAGUACGAUAGGAUGAAGAUAUAGUCCAUACUAUUAGUAAUAAUAGAUCAAUAGCGAUGUCGGCUCAUCACAUCCUGGGGCUGAAGAAGGUCCCAAGGGUUUGGCUGUUCGCCAAUUAAAGUGGUUCGUGAGCUGGGUUCAAACCGUCAAUUUGGCGGCUUUCCAGAGCAAUCUGGUUAGCAAAACCGACUCAUAUCGGUGAAGUCCUAUCAUUGAUUUUCAACCUGUCAAAUGGUAGGAUAAUACCGAGGGAAGUUGUAAGUUUGAACUUAUGAGAAAAGUAGAUAAAGAAUGCUAAGAUUUUAUAGCUCUUUAUUGUUAGAAAUAUCUCAUAAGUAAAAAUUUAUUAACCCCGUAGAGACUGAGCUUUUUAUAAAGCGAGAGUCAUUCUUUAUAAGAAUGGCUAAUACGUCGGUCUCCUGUUUUAAAUCAACAGGAUGGUGGUAUAGUCCAUGCACUUAGUAAUAGGUGAUUAACAUGCGUAAGACAGGUUGGUCCAUAUCUACCACAGGCGUCGAGUUUUGAGGAGAGUUGCCCUUUGUACGAGAGGAUCAGGGUGAACCAACCUCUGGUGUAUCAGUUGUCCUGCCAAGGGCAUAGCUGAGUAGCUAAGUUGGGAAAGGAUAAGAGCUGAAAGCAUCUAAGCUCGAAGCCUACUCCAAGAUUAGAACUCUUACCCAGGUUAAAGACUAUGACCUUGAUAGGGUGCAGGUGCAAGCUCCGUGAGGAGUUCAGCCGAGCACUACUAAUUGG
This 4163-nucleotide ribosomal RNA is filed under the name Parcubacteria group bacterium. RNAcentral describes it as "23S ribosomal RNA". The stretch from base 2 to 2716 matches the Rfam family "Bacterial large subunit ribosomal RNA". The record is from RNAcentral.